CACAGAAGUGAUUAAGUUCACCCAUUUUUCACUGAAAUAAACUUAACCACAGACCUUCAUCUUCACCCAACUUUCAUCUGAUGAUGAACAUGAAGCCACUCCUGACACUGCCAAAUAUUGCUGGAGCAAAGGGACAACACACAAACUGAGCAGGAUUUGAAAGAAAAUAGUGAAAAGAGAGGACUUUACUGGAAUGCUGGGUCAUUCCUUAGGACACUCAGCUCUCUGCAUCCCAUCAGGAGCCUGAAACAAAACAAACACAAAAC
Molecule: long non-coding RNA, 266 nt
Filed under: Parus major (Great Tit)
Lineage: Eukaryota; Metazoa; Chordata; Aves; Passeriformes; Paridae
Description: lncRNA (ENSPMJG00000012969.1)
Source: RNAcentral